AGGAGGGAGAGAGAAUCUCAAGAAGACUGCACUCAGCUUGGAGCCAGAUAUUGACAGAUUGAUCCCAGGACUCCAAGAUCACGACCCAAGCCAAAACCAAGAGAAGUCCAUUUGGCGCUGCAGCAUUCGCUUCAAGUUCACACCAAAACGUAGAAGAAACUAAAGAGAGGGACGAAGAACUCCUUCAUGGCCAUCUCCAAGUCCCCUAGGACCCCUGGGCUCCCCACGGUCUUGGGACUGAGCCCAAUAUUGCGCUCCAGGUGCAGUAAGGAAUCUGAUUAGGAUUCUGUGUCUCCCUCUCCCUGUCCCCACCUCC
Molecule: long non-coding RNA, 316 nt
Organism: Mustela erminea (ermine)
Lineage: Eukaryota; Metazoa; Chordata; Mammalia; Carnivora; Mustelidae
Exons: 3
Source: RefSeq, a predicted model, not a curated record